UGAAGCAACGACUAGAGCAAUAUUCUGAAAGUGAUGUUUGAGAGGUAAUUAUUUUUAUCAAAUAAGCAGUUUCUGAAAUGGGCUGCCCAAGAAAUUAAAAACCUUUGAAUGUAAUUUUGAAAGUAGGAGAAACAUUUUAACAUGUGUUCUAUAUCUAUCCUUGGUACAGAUGAUAUAUCCUCGUUUGAGAGGUAGACUACAUGUCAUACAUCCUUUACAUGGCCUGGUGAGUGAUGUUGGGUAUAAUUUUUUCUUUUCUCUGUUUUUUUUUUUUUUUGGUUAGUGGAUUUUUUAACAGAUGAAUCUCAGGAUAAUGAUCUAUGAUUUAAGAGGUGGAAUUUAAAUGGGUAUUGUUGCAUUUACAGUAUUGUGAGCCUUGACAUGUUUACCUUUUGAAACAAAACUAAAGUUUACCUUCUGCGCAAUUUCACAAAGAGAAGACAAGCUACAAUCGUGUAUACUUACGUGUGUGUGUGUCCUUUAUAUUCCAUUAAUAUCA
Molecule: long non-coding RNA, 499 nt
Organism: Rosa chinensis
Lineage: Eukaryota; Viridiplantae; Streptophyta; Magnoliopsida; Rosales; Rosaceae
Exons: 2
Source: RefSeq, a predicted model, not a curated record